Molecule: ribosomal RNA, 442 nt
Filed under: uncultured bacterium
Lineage: Bacteria
Description: partial 16S ribosomal RNA
Rfam family: Bacterial small subunit ribosomal RNA
Source: RNAcentral
CCUACGGGCGGCAGCAGUGGGGAAUAUUGGGCAAUGGUCGAAAGCCUGACCCAGCAACGCCGCGUGAAGGAAGAAGGCUUUCGGGUUGUAAACUUCUUUUUACAGGGAAGCGCAGACGACGGUACCUCUCGAAUAAGCCACGGCUAACUACGUGCCAGCAGCCGCGGUAAUACGUAGGUGGCAGGCGUUGUCCGGAUUUACUGGGUGUAAAGGGCGUGUAGCCGGGCUGACAAGUCAGAUGUGAAAUCCGGGGGCUCAACCCCCGAACUGCAGUUGAAACUGGUGGUCUUGAGUAUCGGAGAGGCAGGCGGAAUGCGUGGUGUAGCGGUGAAAUGCGUAGAUAUUAGGAGGAACACCAGUGGCGAAGGCGGCCUGCUGGCUGACAACUGACGGUGAGGCGCGAAAGCGUGGGGAGCAAACAGGAUUAGAUACCCGAGUAGUC